RNAcentral lists this long non-coding RNA (448 nucleotides) under Setaria viridis. RNAcentral describes it as "long non-coding RNA (SVIR_LNC005267)". Lineage: Eukaryota; Viridiplantae; Streptophyta; Magnoliopsida; Poales; Poaceae. The record is from RNAcentral.
AGAGAGUUUCAAUAGUGGAUAGAGAUUCAACUUAAAGAGGCACAUACAUAGAGAUACUCAAUUGGCAAGAAAGUUUUUGUGAUGAUUAUUACGUAGAAUCCGAUAGCAAAUGAAUUUGACUUUUUCGAUGAAGUUUGGCUGAAAGAUAGAAAACUACAAGCUUGACCAAAAUUUGCUCGUAUUAGGUCAAUAGAUGGAGUUUAUCAGAAUACUCUUUUUUUUAAAUGCAAUAAAUAAAAUAUAGAUGCUCACGUGCACAGACAACUAUCUGCAUGAUCUUACAGCUAAGAGAAUAGUUAUAUUAAUUUUGAACGAGUAAUGUACCCAUGAUUAGUUGGUUAGUGGAACGAGUUAUAUAAAUUCGAACUUGGAUCGACAGGUUCCGCUAACCAACUAAUCAUGCAUGAGCUCCCCUAUUUAUUGACCAAAGAUCUUUGCUCAGCUUUAU